AGCAGUAGCCGCGGGAAUACGUAGGGUGCAAGCGUUAAUCGGAAUUACUGGGCGUAAAGCGUGCGCAGGCGGUUUGUUAAGACAGAUGUGAAAUCCCCGGGCUCAACCUGGGAACUGCAUUUGUGACUGGCAAGCUAGAGUGUGGCAGAGGGGGGUGGAAUUCCGCGUGUAGCAGUGAAAUGCGUAGAUAUGCGGAGGAACACCGGUGGCGAAGGCAGCCCCCUGGGCCAACACUGACGCUCAUGCACGAAAGCGUGGGGAGCAAACAGGAUUAGAUACCCCCGUAGUCCCUGUCUCUUAUAC
Molecule: ribosomal RNA, 303 nt
Filed under: uncultured bacterium
Lineage: Bacteria
Description: partial 16S ribosomal RNA
Rfam family: Bacterial small subunit ribosomal RNA
Source: RNAcentral